GGGGGGGAGGGGUUAUCGCGAGAAGAGCCGCCCCGCGGGAUUUUUUUCUUAAAGGAGCCGCCGUGAAACGGCAGGCGGCAGCGCGGGGGCGUCUCGCGAGGCUUGCGGAUGUUCCCGCGCGCGGCGCAGGCGUUGGGCCGUUAGAGCGCGAGGGAAGCCGUUGGGCGUCUGAGGCGCCAUGAGCGGCGGUGAGGGCAGGCGCUACCCGGGCCGGCGCUGUCGUGUUUACUAACGUUUCACAGCCAACAGAACUGGCUGGGUUGGACCGCUGUUCACAAACUGAUCUCAACCCUUCCGAUCAGCGAAAAGUCAAGCAAGUAGGACAUCCCCUUUCAACAGAGAUUUAGAUUCAGAACUUUAGUCUGCAUCUCAGCCUGAAAUACAAGACAACAACUAGCUUUUGGCAAAUGCCAUAAAAGCAGCCCUUGGGACCGAGCUAGAGAAACAUCCUUCCUAAGAAUAUAUACCCCAGUUCUGACAAGCAUGGGACGUCAUGUCUGAAACAGAGAGCCCUUUCCCUUCCAGAAUAGCCCAGAGGCUCACUGGGACAAGUCACAGAGUGCUUGGCACAGACAAGGACAGCAGUCCUAGUUUGCCACCUUACAAGUGAGUGCUUUAGCCUAAAAUGACUGAUUAUUCCAGACGGGGCUGUUGCAAUUAAUAUGCACUGCAUAUUUGUUACACCAGGACUUUAAUGUUGUUUUCAUACCUCAGUUUACUUCUGAGGAUAAAAGUCUUGCACUGUUUCUCCCCUAUCUCAUUAUUUAGUUUAAAUCAAAUGUGUACCAUUCUUUAAACAACAAAAAAUUGGCUGUGGGAACUUUGCCAAAGUAAGCAAUUUAAAGAUGUUAUCUUUUGGUUGCAGUGAUUUGUUGUUGCUGGUGCUGCAGAUUGAAUCAAAGACUUUGUGGCAAGGUGGUCCCUAUGGGAGGGACCAGUCCUUGGCUCCAAGUGUCCGGGUGAGCUGGCUUCCCCUGUGGGAUAGUGACCUUUUCUGCUCCCCAGAGGUUAUGGAGCCCUCUGAUGGUUGGAUGGUGAUCAGGAGGUUAAAACAAAGCACAGUAAAGCAGGGAGUUCAUUACAAUGCUGUACCUAUUUGGGAAAAUAGCAGAAUUCUGGGAAAAUCUGCAGAUCUGAGCAUGACUUUUGCCAUCAUCCACUAGCAAAAGAUAAGGAAGACUGUAAUUUAGCUGACUAGUUAUAAUAAACCAGCCAAAAACCACUUCCGAUCAAACUAAAGAAGCAAAAGCUUGAAUGAUGCAGAACUCCACAAAUACUUGUGAUCAGCUCACAGCUAUCUUGUGACUAUUGGAUUUACUUCCGAUAUUUCUCUGCUAUGCUCUAGGUACAAGUAAAAUUAGUCUUACAAAUAAGCUUUCACCCUAUAUAAUCAGUAUAAAUAAAGUA
Long non-coding RNA from Dromaius novaehollandiae (emu), 1407 nucleotides. RefSeq lists it as uncharacterized. The record is from RefSeq and is a predicted model, not a curated record. The transcript is spliced from 4 exons. Lineage: Eukaryota; Metazoa; Chordata; Aves; Casuariiformes; Dromaiidae.